Molecule: ribosomal RNA, 840 nt
Filed under: Cryptosporidium andersoni
Lineage: Eukaryota; Apicomplexa; Conoidasida; Eucoccidiorida; Cryptosporidiidae
Description: partial small subunit ribosomal RNA
Rfam family: Eukaryotic small subunit ribosomal RNA
Source: RNAcentral
CUCAUAAGGUGCUGAAGGAGUAAAGAACCAAUGAGCUUGGUAUUCAUAAUGAUUUAGGAUUGGAUAUCGGAUGCGGCAUGUGACUUAACGUUCAGGCCUAUCACCUUCAGCGGUAGGGGAUUGGCCUUACGCGGACUGUGACGGUAACGGGGAAAUAGGGAUUGGUUUCCGAGACGGGAGCGGGAGAAAGGGUAACCCCUUCCACGUAGGGCGCAGGCGGCGGAAUUUCCCAAUCCCCAAUCCGGGGAGGGGGGGCCAGAAACAACAAAUCCGGGCCCAAAGCUUUUGGAAAUUGAAAGGGGAAAGGAUUAACCCCCUUCCCAGUAACAAAUGGGGGGGAAAGUCGGGGUCCGCCGCCGGCGGAAAUUCCAGUUCCAAUUCCAAUAAUUAAAGUUGUGCCAGUUAAAAAGUUGUAGUUGGAAUUUUUUUUUUUUAUUUUAUAAUAUUACCAAGGUAAUUAUUAUAUUAUCAACAUCCUUCCUAUUAUAUUCUAAAUAUAUAGGAAAUUUUACUUUGAGAAAAUUAGAGUGCUUAAAGCAGGCAACUGCCUUGAAUACUCCAGCAUGGAAUAAUAAGUAAGGACUUUUGUUUUUCUUAUUGGUUCUAGGACAAAAGUAAUGGUUAAUAGGGACAGUUGGGGGCAUUCGUAUUUAACAGUCAGAGGUGAAAUUCUUAGAUUUGUUAAAGACAAACUACUGCGAAAGCAUUUGCCAAGGAUGUUUUCAUUAAUCAAGAACGAAAGUUAGGGGAUCGAAGACGAUCAGAUACCGUCGUAGUCUUAACCAUAAACUAUGCCGACUAGAGAUUGGAGGUUCUUUAUCUAAUAAAUACAACCCUUCC